RNAcentral lists this ribosomal RNA (497 nucleotides) under uncultured bacterium. RNAcentral's name for it is "partial 16S ribosomal RNA". It matches the Rfam family "Bacterial small subunit ribosomal RNA", at positions 28 to 507 of the family's 1533-position model. The record is from RNAcentral.
GAUGAACGCUGGCGGCGUGCCUAAUACAUGCAAGUCGAGCGAACGGACGAGAAGCUUGCUUCUCUGAUGUUAGCGGCGGACGGGUGAGUAACACGUGGAUAACCUACCUAUAAGACUGGGAUAACUUCGGGAAACCGGAGCUAAUACCGGAUGAUAUUUUGAACCGCAUGGUUCAAAAGUGAAAGACGGUCUUGCUGUCACUUAUAGAUGGAUCCGCGCUGCAUUAGCUAGUUGGUAAGGUAACGGCUUACCAAGGCAACGAUGCAUAGCCGACCUGAGAGGGUGAUCGGCCACACUGGAACUGAGACACGGUCCAUACUCCUACGGGAGGCAGCAGUAGGGAAUCUUCCGCAAAGGGCGAAAGCCUGACGGAGCAACGCCGCGUGAGUGAUGAAGGUCUUCGGAUCGUAAAACUCUGUUAUUAGGGAAGAACAUAUGUGUAAGUAACUGUGCACAUCUUGACGGUACCUAAUCAGAAAGCCACGGCUAACUACGUG